GACGGGGGGGGCAAGUGUUCUUCGGAAUGACUGGGCGUAAAGGGCACCUAGGCGGUGAAUCGGGUUGAAAGUGAAAGUCGCCAAAAAGUGGCGGAAUGCUCUCGAAACCAAUUCACUUGAGUGAGACAGAGGAGAGUGGAAUUUCGUGUGUAGGGGUGAAAUCCGUAAAUAUACGAAGGAACGCCAAAAGCGAAGGCAGCUCUCUGGGUCCCUACCGACGCUGGGGUGCGAAAGCAUGGGGAGCGAACAGG
RNAcentral lists this ribosomal RNA (251 nucleotides) under uncultured bacterium. RNAcentral describes it as "partial 16S ribosomal RNA". It matches the Rfam family "Bacterial small subunit ribosomal RNA", at positions 524 to 776 of the family's 1533-position model. The record is from RNAcentral.